This 750-nucleotide long non-coding RNA is filed under the name Pan troglodytes (chimpanzee). Its description in RNAcentral is "long non-coding RNA NONPTRT010332". Lineage: Eukaryota; Metazoa; Chordata; Mammalia; Primates; Hominidae. The record is from RNAcentral.
CUGGUGUGGACAAUUCAAGACUUUCUUACUCUCCUCAGUGUCUCUUUCCUUUAUAUGAUAUUAAGACCAGGUACUGUAAUUGCUCACCGCUUUUUGGUUCCUGUAAAAGUUCUGUGUGUAUUUUGUGUGCUUUCUAUUCAAUUCCAUGUUCCUGCAGGAAGAAUGAUUGCUGGAGGCUUCUAUUUGACCAUCCUGCUCUGUCUCUUCUCUGUGUGAUAUACUCCUAACUAAUGACAUCUGCAACAUUCUGAAGUACUGGAGGCUAGGACUUCAACAUAUGUUUGGGGACUUCAAUUUGACCCACAACUACAUGCUAUAUAUUUUUUUAAAGGAUUACUUAUGGUAUACAGACUCACAGAGCUGAUACAGGUUGAGAUAUAUUCAUAUAUAUCUUUAAUUAUUUCCCUCAACGUUUAUAUGUAUGUAUAUUUAUAUAUAAUAUAUAAAUAUGUACUAUAUAUUAUAUAAAUAUAUAUAUUCAAUUUAGAUAGAUUUUGGUGAAUGAUUUCAGGUAGAGGAAAAAUGUAUGUAUCUGGAAUCUUACUUUUACUUAAUACUAUACUGAGCAGAAAAUAACGUCCAACACAAAUUAGAAUUGGCUUAGAGUUGCCUGAAGAUAAGCAUGGGUUCAAGGGGGUCUACCUUUCUGUUUCCUAAUUCUUUCCUGUCCUUUUUCAUUACCUGUCUUUCUCUACUGUGCUAUAAUCCCCUAUACGGGAGAAUUAGUGCUCCCUUGGUUUCAUACGUCAA